UAAAGUUGUCCUAGGAAGAGAUCAGGU
RNAcentral lists this non-coding RNA (27 nucleotides) under Rattus norvegicus (Norway rat). The record is from RNAcentral. Lineage: Eukaryota; Metazoa; Chordata; Mammalia; Rodentia; Muridae.